Molecule: ribosomal RNA, 161 nt
Filed under: [Candida] sp.
Lineage: Eukaryota; Fungi; Ascomycota; Saccharomycetes; Saccharomycetales
Description: Candida sp. (in: Saccharomycetales) partial large subunit ribosomal RNA
Rfam family: Eukaryotic large subunit ribosomal RNA
Source: RNAcentral
CGGCAAAAGCUCAAAUUUGAAAUCUGGCCGCAAGGUCCGAGUUGUAAUUUGAAGAAGGUAACUUUUGAGUCUAUCUUUACUUAAGUUCCUUGGAAUAGGACGUCAUAGAGGGUGAGAAUCCCGUUCUGUGGAGUAAUAGUCUCUUGUAAAGUGCUUUCGAA